This 717-nucleotide ribosomal RNA is filed under the name Triticum aestivum (bread wheat). RNAcentral describes it as "partial small subunit ribosomal RNA". The record is from RNAcentral. Lineage: Eukaryota; Viridiplantae; Streptophyta; Magnoliopsida; Poales; Poaceae.
AUGAUUGGCCUAUUUUGGAACAUUAGAGGCCUGAAUGGGUCCAUCAAAUGUAAUAAACUGAAAGAGCCCAUUAUAGCUCAUAAGCCUGAUUUUAUUAGUAUUUCUGAGUCUAAGAAAGAAGACUUUACCCCUGUUCAAUUAGAAGCUUUUGACAUUAGAUCCUGUUAUACUUGGAAAUGGCUUCCUGCUAAUAACACUGCUGGAGGCAUCCUAGUAGGAAUUAGGGGAGAUCUCUUUGACAUCGUUUGUUGUGAUAUACACACUUACAGUGUUUCUUGCUUACUCCAAAACAAACAAGAUGGGUCUUCCUGGAGACUGGUCUCCAUUUAUGGUCCUGCUUAUGAACAAUACAAACUAGAUUUCAUUAAUGAAUUGCACAACUUGCUUACUGGGUAGACUGGUCCAACUCUGGUAGGUGGGGAUUUUAAUUUGAUUAGGGAGGCCAGUGAGAAAAACACUGGUCUGAUUAACCAGCACUGGGCAGACUUGUUCAAUUACUGGAUUAAUAGAUUUGGUCUUCUUGAGCUGAAGAUUAAUGGCAGGAAAUACACCUGGGGCAAUAACCAAGACUCUUUGGUUAUGGCCACUAUAGAUAGGGUUUUCAUGUCCACUAAUUGGGCAACAUCUUUCCCUAAUGUUCAGCUCAGAGCUCUUCCUAGGGUUGGAAGUGAUCACACCCCUCUGGUAUUGAACACUUGUGCUUUCCCCCCCCCCUAA